UUAUUGCCGACGCAAACUUUGCUUUGGGGCAGCUGCUUGGGUACUACGAGCGUGUGCUUAAAACUCAAAGAACUUGGCGGCUCGUUAACUACCUAGGGGAAUAUGCGCCUUAAUCCGAUGAUCCGCGUAGCAUCUUACUGUACCUUGAAAAAGAACAGCCGGUGUAUUGCCGUCGUCAGCCUGUUGUUCGAGCAAAGAGAAACAGGCCCAAUGGAACUGGCGAUUUGUCGACAGGAUCCGUAAAGUCAGGUCGAAAUACUGCCCAUGGUACGAGGGAGUGGGUAUUACAAUUCAAUUUUCGAACUACGGAGCUUGGAAGAACUGUGAAAUCUCCAGGUGAAGGUGGACUUAGGAGUAAGGGGAGAUUAAUAUGCUUCCCUGAACAUGAAUCUAACUUGUGUACACAUCGCCCGUCGCUCU
This 420-nucleotide ribosomal RNA is filed under the name Mizuhopecten yessoensis (Yesso scallop). RNAcentral's name for it is "partial 12S ribosomal RNA". It matches the Rfam family "Bacterial small subunit ribosomal RNA", at positions 840 to 1403 of the family's 1533-position model. The record is from RNAcentral. Lineage: Eukaryota; Metazoa; Mollusca; Bivalvia; Pectinida; Pectinidae.